GUUUUGCGUCUUGUACUUUUCAUCGUUCACUUCCAGAAUUCAGUCGUUUUUGAACCGACCGAUUCAAUUUAAUAAACGUCAGAUGAUAGUUUCCCCCUUUCCAUAUUCUUCAAAAUAUUAUUAAAUGGCAAUUUGAUUACAAUUUUUGUGUGAAUUUGAUGAAAAUUUUCCAUAAAUUUGAGUUGAUUCCAUUGUGCCUAAACCCUUCUUCAUUUCUAGUUAUUUCGUGGAUGAAUUUUUUAAGACAUCGCAUCUUAUCAGAAAACCAUUCCUAAUGCUCAGAUUUCUGCUUUUCGAUUUAAAAUUAAAAAAGAGGAUUCUAGCUUUCUUGCCCAGUUCCUACUUUUAGUGAGCGCCUUCGCGAUCGCAACAUUUUUAAAUUUUUACAUUAAGUAAAAGAGUAGUUUUUUUUGUAUCGGUGCUCUCUUUUUCAUUAAAAAACGGAACAAAAACAAUAAAAUCACACGGUUAAUGCUGUUUUCCGGUUGACCUCACCUUCAAAGUAUGGUAAUGUGAGACCAUAAGUAUGCAUGACUAUUUUUUAAAUAAAUUAAACGAAAUGAUAUUGUUCUUGUCCUUCAACGCUGUGGAAGUAGACCGGCUCAUUAUUUUUAUCUUCAGGUGGGCCGUCUAGUUUCAGAGAAUACAUUGUUCGGCAGUUCUAAUUGAUCGUCGGGUGCUUCAGAUCUGUUCCAUGUUUUUCAAAUUGACAAACGAGAAUCUUACUGUGAAGUAUUUUAACAUCUGUGUUUGGGUAAUUAUCUGUCUUUUCAGCCUCUUUUCAUUUGACACAUACUAUUUGUUUAUUAUUUUAGCGCAUUUGUUCUAUUACUUAAACCUGAAGCCACACGCUUUUCCCUUAUUUUCCCCACGGAAAUAUCUGAUCUUGGACCACGUAGAUGAAACUGCUUCCAAAUCAUCAUAACCGAAGUAUCAUGCCACGUCUCGCGUGUUUCCUAAUCGUAUUCCUCGCCCUCGCAACAUUCGGAAGAGGGAUGCCAGCGCAGGCUGUAAAGCAAAAGGAAGUAAUAAAGCAGGAAACCACAACCUAUACGAAUACAGCUCCUGUUGCUCCUAUGUACUAUCAGGCACCCAAUCAACAGGUGUACCAACAACAGCAGUAUACCUACCAACAGGCCCCAGCAGUAAUAAUGACUACAGGAAAAUAAUAUCACUUCUCGUAUGGCGCUUUAACACAGCGCGACUUAUUACUUUGAUUCGUGUAUUUUGAGCUAGAACACCUAUGCAGGGAGAGUAAUGUCAUCUUCAUCAUUAAUAUGAAACAAAACUGUGGCGCUUACUGGUUGAUCUGCGAAAAUGUAGGCUUUUCAUGGAGACCUUGGGGCCCAAUGCAGGCGACCAUGAUAACCACAAAAUUUGAGACACGAUAAAAUUUUUUUAAUUUCAAGCUUCUGAAGUGAGGUACAAGUAUUAAACAUUGAUUAAUAUUUAUGCCGAGUAUUAUAUUCUUUAAAGGUAUCAUUGAUUUUUUCUGGAGGAAAAAAAAGAAAAAAAGGUCCAUCUACCUCGGGCCAGUUGAUAUAUUUGGACCGCAAAGCCCCAUAAAUGCUUAAAAAUGGGAAAUCAAUCAGAAAUCAAGACCAAGAAGACGAAACUUUUCCUCUAUUGGUAUUCUAUCCUGAGCCGUGAAGCAGUGAAUAAAAAAAUGAACGAAUGGUGCAAAUUUGUGUUCUUUUUUCUUCCUGUUUUUGAACCAUUCGUGUUAAUUUUUCCAGGUGUGUAAAUAGCCUAUGAUAUUGAGGCAAUUUGUAAAAAUAAAAUUAUUCUACUACUUCUACUGCUGCUAAUUUAUCUUUCA
This 1819-nucleotide long non-coding RNA is filed under the name Bemisia tabaci. RNAcentral's name for it is "lncRNA ENSSSA1UGG010149". The record is from RNAcentral. Lineage: Eukaryota; Metazoa; Arthropoda; Insecta; Hemiptera; Aleyrodidae.